RNAcentral lists this ribosomal RNA (465 nucleotides) under uncultured bacterium. RNAcentral's name for it is "bacterial SSU rRNA". It matches the Rfam family "Bacterial small subunit ribosomal RNA", at positions 28 to 507 of the family's 1533-position model. The record is from RNAcentral.
GACGAACGCUGGCGGCGCGCCUAACACAUGCAAGUCGAACGAGAGAUGAGGAGCCUGCUCUUCAAAUCGAGUGGCGAACGGGUGAGUAACGCGUGAGGAACCUGCCUCAAAGAGGGGGACAACAGUUGGAAACGACUGCUAAUACCGCAUAAGCCCACGGCUCGGCAUCGAGCAGAGGGAAAGGAGCAAUCCGCUUUGAGAUGGCCUCGCGUCCGAUUAGCUAGUUGGUGAGGUAAUGGCCCACCAAGGCGACGAUCGGUAGCCGGACUGAGAGGUUGAACGGCCACAUUGGGACUGAGACACGGCCCAGACUCCUACGGGAGGCAGCAGUGGGGAAUAUUGCACAAUGGGGGAAACCCUGAUGCAGCGACGCCGCGUGGAGGAAGAAGGUCUUCGGAUUGUAAACUCCUGUUGUUGAGGAAGAUAAUGACGGUACUCAACAAGGAAGUGACGGCUAACUACGUG